RNAcentral lists this unclassified non-coding RNA (289 nucleotides) under Bactrocera tryoni. Its description in RNAcentral is "dihydrofolate reductase-like, transcript variant X1". Lineage: Eukaryota; Metazoa; Arthropoda; Insecta; Diptera; Tephritidae. The record is from RNAcentral.
CUUGAAGUGAACGGUUGUUACAAGUGAUUAGUUCGCAAAAUCACUUUAUUACUAAAGCAAUAUUUAACUGCUUUAUAAGUAUAACAUCAGGAAAAUACAAAUUUUAAUUGAAAUGUUGAAUUUUAAUUUGAUCGCCGCUGUUUGCGAGAACUCAGGUAUAGGUUUAAACGGUGAUUUGCCAUGGAGUUUAAAGUGUGUCGGAAUAUGAAUAUUUUACACAAACAACAAAACGACGAUGUGAUAUCACAAAGCAUAAUGUUGUUAUAAUGGGACGGCUUACUUAUUUAAG